AGAGUUUGAUCCUGGCUCAGAACGAACGCUGGCGGCGUGCUUAACACAUGCAAGUCGAACGAGAAUCGGAGCUUGCUCCGAGGAUAGUGGCGCACGGGUGAGUAACGCGUGGAUAACCUGCCCUGGUAUCUGGGAUAACAUCUCGAAAGGGGUGCUAAUACCGGAUAAGCCCACGGGAACUUUGGUUCUUGCGGGAAAAGGUGGCCUCUGAAUAUGCUACUGUAUCAGGAUGGGUCCGCGUACCAUUAGCUAGUUGGUGGUGUAAUGGACCACCAAGGCGACGAUGGUUAGCUGGUCUGAGAGGAUGAUCAGCCACACUGGAACUGAGACACGGACCAGACUCCUACGGGAGGCAGCAGUAAGGAAUAUUGGUCAACGGACGCAAGUCUGAACCAGCCAUGCCGCGUGCAGGAUGACGGCCUUAUGGGUUGUAAACUGCUUUUAUACAAGAGAAAACCCUCCUACGUGUAGGAGGCUGAUAGUAUUGUAGGAAUAAGCAUCGGCUAAC
This 508-nucleotide ribosomal RNA is filed under the name uncultured bacterium. RNAcentral's name for it is "bacterial SSU rRNA". It matches the Rfam family "Bacterial small subunit ribosomal RNA", at positions 8 to 501 of the family's 1533-position model. The record is from RNAcentral.